GACGAACGCUAGCGGCGUGCUUAACACAUGCAAGUCGAACGGAAAGGCCCUGCUUUUGUGGGGUGCUCGAGUGGCGAACGGGUGAGUAACACGUGAGUAACCUGCCCUUGACUUUGGGAUAACUUCAGGAAACUGGGGCUAAUACCGGAUAGGAGCUCCUGCUGCAUGGUGGGGGUUGGAAAGUUUCGGCGGUUGGGGAUGGACUCGCGGCUUAUCAGCUUGUUGGUGGGGUAGUGGCUUACCAAGGCUUUGACGGGUAGCCGGCCUGAGAGGGAGACCGGCCACAUUGGGACUGAGAUACGGCCCAGACUCCUACGGGAGGCAGCAGUGGGGAAUAUUGCACAAUGGGCGGAAGCCUGAUGCAGCAACGCCGCGUGCGGGAUGACGGCCUUCGGGUUGUAAACCGCUUUCGCCUGUGACGAAGCGUGAGUGACGGUAAUGGGUAAAGAAGCACCGGCUAACUACGUG
This 468-nucleotide ribosomal RNA is filed under the name uncultured bacterium. Its description in RNAcentral is "partial 16S ribosomal RNA". It matches the Rfam family "Bacterial small subunit ribosomal RNA", at positions 28 to 507 of the family's 1533-position model. The record is from RNAcentral.